Molecule: long non-coding RNA, 230 nt
Filed under: Oryza brachyantha (malo sina)
Lineage: Eukaryota; Viridiplantae; Streptophyta; Magnoliopsida; Poales; Poaceae
Description: long non-coding RNA (OBRA_LNC002249)
Source: RNAcentral
CCCGCCGCCCCCCGCGCCCCGGCCGCCGCAGACGGCCCAGGGCCGCCGGCGCCGCCGCCCCUGAACCCCUUCUUCCCCGGCGCGUUCGACAUUCUUCUUUCUUUUUUACUUCCUUCCCUAGCUGCGCUAUAGCUAGCCUCUAGCUCUCGCACAGCGUUCGCCCAUGGCGACGGAGAGCGAGCUGGUCCGCGAACCAGGUGUUGAGGGAGGAGGAGGUGAGGGGGGCUCGG